Molecule: long non-coding RNA, 893 nt
Filed under: Homo sapiens (human)
Lineage: Eukaryota; Metazoa; Chordata; Mammalia; Primates; Hominidae
Description: HSALNT0399019
Source: RNAcentral
CACUCGCAGUCCGUCUACUCACGUCCCCUAGUCAGCCUCUCACUCUCUACCCGCUGGGCGGUACCCCGCAUCUCGCUCUGGCCGCCCCAGAGGUUCGCGGCUUCUGGACCUGCUGUGCCCCUCUCCAGCCUGGAUCAGGACGGAGAACACCCCCGAAACCCACCUCACCAGCACAGCCGGCGGACCCUUCCGGAGGUGGCCGCAGAGACUAGCCAACUUGCGCGCCCGCCGACCCGGACCACAGCUCCCAGCACACCUCAAGGGCCCACGCCCGCCAGGACUACAAUUCCCGGCGUCCUCCGGAAGCUCAAGUGUACCCAGGCGCGGUGCCUGCUGGGAAUUGUAGUUGACGUUGGUCAGCACGGAGGCCACAGGAUCCCAGCCCGGCCUUUGUGGGACUGAGGUGGCGCUGAGUGGGAGAGCAGCAGGCGAUGCGCGAAAGGCGGGACUUGGAGAUAAAUACUGAGCACCCACAACAGGCAGCCAGCACCACUGCAGAUUGGAUACUGCAAUGAUGAUAAGCAUGGCCUGCCUUUAUGGAGUUCAAGGCAUGUGGUGAUCAUGCUGCCUAAGAGUAUCUUUGUUUACCUGAGGACCUUGGGCCAUGCCAAGUAUUUGUCAACAAUGUGAUUUAUGGUUCUGGAUGUUCCUGUGGAUAACCUCAAGGAGCACGGGACCUGGGACAUGACUGCCCCCAGCAUUCCUUCUGGCGGCAGACAGAGUUUGUCAGUUCGCCAACAUCCUGCUUUCAUGAGAACAGUUUGCUGUUUGCUCACAGAGCCUCCAGUGGUAUACUGAGUUGGUCACGACCCUCAUUCCUUCGGCCUCCAACAUCUCCCCUUUUGUUUUUGCAUUAAUUGAAUAAAGGUAAUUUCAGGCUGUGCAGCUUUCAA